CCACCAAGGCGACGAUCAGUAGCCGACCUGAGAGGGUGACCGGCCACAUUGGGACGUGAGACACGGCCCACGAACUCCUACGGGAGGCAGCAUG
Molecule: ribosomal RNA, 94 nt
Filed under: uncultured bacterium
Lineage: Bacteria
Description: partial 16S ribosomal RNA
Rfam family: Bacterial small subunit ribosomal RNA
Source: RNAcentral